UCGUGUAUUCGAAGCUAAGGGCGAGCUAACCACUACACCAAGGAGACGCCUGAACGAACACACUAAAGGGAAUCUGUAUCUUCAUCCAUCAACUCAGUAUCUACAGCAAGAAAAGGAUAAACAAAAAAUACUAAUGAUAGAAAUUUUACAAGCCGAGUCGACGGUGGCGCCAUCAGCUGAGCGGCGGCGAAGCAACGAAACAGUGGUCAGUCUGGAGCAAACCAUCACAAGGGAAGGACGUCUCGCUACCCGGCUCCCGUUUCUACCUUAAAAUCCACCAUUCCUACAUACCUUUUCCCCUGUGGCUCUUAAUCACUUCAAUCUACACUCAUUAAGACAGGACCUGUAAUUGUAAUGGUGGACUCAGCGAUGGAUAUGUGGCACCCAAGUGGAUCAAGGAGUAUGUGGAAGAGCUAGCUAUGUGGAGGCGUGGACGGAGAGACAAGUGAUAUUUGAAGGAGACGAGGCACUGGAGAGCUGCAGCAAGGAGGACCAGGUGGUGACGAAGCAGGUGUCCAGCACAUGUCCCGGAGAGCUGCUGCAGGGAGGGCCGGAGGGCGGUGACGAAGAUGAUGUCCACGACGCACCAAGCAAGCCGGCAGCUGAAAGAAGAACAGCAUUUGUACCAGACAUACGGAAGGUGACGUAAAAGGGACAGCCUGACCAAUAUUGUAAAGCAAACUCAUUAAAUGUCGCAAAAAGAAUCACCCAUGAAAUCUAAUCUUAAAAAAUCUUUCAGCUGCUGGCCGCCCCUGCUGUACUGCAAGUUAUGCUGCCACACCACUGUACACUAGAUUCAAGGGUAACUAAACCACUCGAUACAUUACCAACCUUAACUUUAAUUAGGCAAAAGUAGCUUAAACAAUACAUUACCAGCCUUCACCCCACUAUCAUUAAAACAGUAGGUCUAUAUCUUUCAUUUCCUAGGCCUAAGCACUCACUCACUUUUACCACUCAAUACAUUACC
This is a long non-coding RNA of Eriocheir sinensis (Chinese mitten crab), 967 nucleotides long. RefSeq lists it as uncharacterized. The record is from RefSeq and is a predicted model, not a curated record. The transcript is spliced from 3 exons. Lineage: Eukaryota; Metazoa; Arthropoda; Malacostraca; Decapoda; Varunidae.